GUGGCGGGUGGCGGCGGCCAGCUCCUUCGGCGAGGGCACUAGCGGCUAGGGUUUGGGGUCAGGUAUGGGUGAGGUUAUUUAUAACCUUCCCCUUUUAAUCUCACCCGUCCAUCAUGGUUUAAUCUGGACCGUCCGAUCGCAAUUAAAAUAGAAAUAAAUCUGGGCCGUCCAUCGCGAUGCGAUCUGGACCGUCCGUGCGUGAUUUAAUCUAGGUCAUCCGCACGCAUGAGAUCUGGGCCGUUCGUGCACGUGAGAUAUGGGCUGUCCGCACGUGUGAGAUAUGGACCGUUCGAUCGCGUGCACGCGGAUCGCUCACGUGGCU
RNAcentral lists this long non-coding RNA (322 nucleotides) under Carica papaya (papaya). RNAcentral describes it as "long non-coding RNA (CPAP_LNC013435)". Lineage: Eukaryota; Viridiplantae; Streptophyta; Magnoliopsida; Brassicales; Caricaceae. The record is from RNAcentral.